This is a long non-coding RNA of Phocoena sinus (vaquita), 2412 nucleotides long. Lineage: Eukaryota; Metazoa; Chordata; Mammalia; Artiodactyla; Phocoenidae. The record is from Ensembl.
AAGAUGACCGGCGACGUUGUUUGUAGCUCUUCCUGGCUGCGCCCUCCUGUCCUUUCCCACUGCUGCUCAUCCCAUGCACGCAGCUUUCACCUGCCGCCUCCUGGUGCAGCUGCCUCGUUCCUUUGAACUAGGUCCUUACCCUCUUCUUCUGCCCUCGCUCGAUGUGGAAGGACAGUUAACCCCCCUCCAGGUGCUUUUGGCUGUUUAAACACUGAUUCUAGGCCCUCUCCCUCUUUUACAGCUGUCACUUUUUCGGAGGGUGGGGAGAAUGUUAGUACCGUUCUUAUUAACUAGGAUUGUUAUAUCUGAGCACUUAUAGUAUGGUAGGUUGAAUGAAAACUGCUGUUUUUGUAGGUCAGAAGGGGCUAGUGAUGACAAUUUCAUAGAUAAAUACCAGGCAUCUUGCUAGACCCCGGCAGCUCUCAGAAUUUUGUCAUCCCGUGUCCUUGUGUAAACUGUAGCUUUUCCCUCUUUUAACUCUAUUCCACAUUGAACGGACAAAACGCAAAAACAUAUAUUGAGUGAUCAUGCCUCUUGCUCUUAUCUCUGUAAUUUGUACAAGCCCACAUUCUUAGCCUUCUCUUCCUUGGCUGUUUGGGCUCAGAAACACACUGCUGCCUGUGUUCACGCCCAGUAAGCCCUCCUCAGUCUCACUUUAGGACCCCAGGGACUGGGGUUUGUUAGAUUCUUGCUUUAACAUCAAGGCCCAGAUCCCAUCACAAAGUUUUCCUCUUCCUUGCCCUCCACACUGAGGCCUUCCUCACAGCCUUUGACACAUCUGUGUGCAUAAUGGAGUGGACUGGGGCGCUCAUGACAGAAGCGCUUCCUUGGCCUGACUCUGUAUGUAGCUAACUCUGGGUGCUGGUUAGUCCAGACAUUCGCACUGGGCAGUAUUGCACCCCAGGUGGCCUCUCGAUUUAAUCAGAUACUCUCCCUCUUAACAUCUGUAGGUGACUAUUAUUUAGUCAUUUUACUUUAUAGUAAUUUCACCAAGCUACGUGAGAAACUCCUUGCCUCUUCAAUUCCAUUGUUGGCACCUCUUGCAAAAGGAAAACACCAUCAACAAAAGGCAAGAACAGUAACUGAGAACAUGAACUCCAGGAUAGGUGGGUUUAUGUUGUUACAUCUAAAAUGUAAAUGUAUGGUUCCAAGAAUUCGUGGUAAUAUUUAUACUUUACCCUAAUCAUUUACAUAAAUGCAAACAAAAGUUAGUGAACUUUAAAUUUCACAGCAAUUUGAGUCAAGAUUCUGCUUAGUUUUAGUUGGCCAGGUAAUUUCUUCCUUUUGCCAUGUCCUGUUGAUGAGUGGCACUGCCAGAGGCCCAGACUGGCAGGAAAGAGGAUGUCAUUUUGUGAAGUUCUAUUUCUUCGUGAACUGAUCUAUCAGUCAUAGGAUGGAGAUGUGGGUUCAUCCAGAGGUGGCAAACCUCCUCUCGACCGUCUUCUGGUAUAUGAGAGAAUAAUCUUGGCCAGUCUGGGAAAAUCAUGAAGGCAUCCUGCUUACAGAGGGUUGAAACCCAAACCUGUUACCCUUGUAUAAGAGCUGGACCGGGAGCCUACCUACCAUCAGCUCUGAGCCGUGACUUCUUUUGUUCACUUACAGAAUCCUGUGUCAGGUUAGAAGCUAUAGUUAGCUAGUAAUUUUGACGUAAUUUGAGUAGAAUGAAGGAAAAAUAUUUAGGGUACUUCUAACCACUAUUUUUGUGCAAAUAGUCUAAAAGUGAAGUAAAAACAGUAGAAGUUUUCUACAGUAUCUGGGUUUAGAGUGUAUAUGAUUAACAUACCUUUGUCCUUUUCAGGGAAAGCAAAACAACCACCUCUGCUAAUCGUUGGGAAAAGAAAAUUGGGUUGUUUUGCCAUAUCAUUUACCUGGAAAGGAUGCUUAAAAGCAUCCUACAUCACUAUUAUUAGUACCAGUGUAUUUAGCUGUUCUCCCUUUAUAGUCAGUAUCUCUGUAUGACACUGAGGCCCUCCCCACAGAUAACUGGUUCAGAAAUACAGGUAUUUCUCUAGAGAAGGACCUGGUUUAUCUUCUCCAGUUUCUUUCGUAGAAUGUCUAAAGAAAAUGCUACUUGCACAUGUUGGUUUUUGAAAUCCUCCUUAACCAGAAGAGUGUCGGGUCAUACUAACACAUAGGUAGGAUGUAGCUGUUCAAACGUCUUCUGGGGGAGCUUAAACUUGUGGGAAAACACUGGUUUUCACAGAUGCUCCACGUGGCUGUCUUUAAAAGACUCGAAACAUUUUUUUGUCCUUUGUUAUGCUUGGAAACUCCCAUAGUGUGUAGAGUCUUUGCAAAGAAAUCUUUAGAUGUGGUUCAUAGGUAUAUGAAUAAGUAUCUGUGUAAAACAGUGAGUGUGCAGUGUGUAAAUACUUUAAAUUAUGGUAGAAAAAUAAAGUUACAUACCAUCCUGUG